GCUGGCCCCAUGAAAUAAUUGGGACACCAGGAGGGGCAGGGUCAGAGGACCUCUAAAUAGCUCUGUAGUCUUGGCCUCAGGGAGUGAUUACCUGCAAUAUGCCAGGGUACUGUCCCUGUAAACAAUGAGGCUGGAAGGCAAGAAAGGAGCAGCUCCCUGGCAUUUUGCUGCUGGAGCACGGAAGCAGUGCUGGCCAGGAGCUCACAGGGGACAUUUGGCAACGUCCAGGGACAAUUUCUGAUGGUCACAACGAAGUGGUUGCUACUAGCAUCAAGUGGGU
Homo sapiens (human) is the source of this 280-nucleotide long non-coding RNA. RefSeq lists it as uncharacterized. The transcript is spliced from 3 exons. Lineage: Eukaryota; Metazoa; Chordata; Mammalia; Primates; Hominidae. The record is from RefSeq and is a predicted model, not a curated record.